Molecule: ribosomal RNA, 495 nt
Filed under: uncultured bacterium
Lineage: Bacteria
Description: bacterial SSU rRNA
Rfam family: Bacterial small subunit ribosomal RNA
Source: RNAcentral
AACGCUGGCGGCAUGCCUAAUACAUGCAAGUCGAACGCUGAAGCACUCUGCUUGCAGAGUGCGGAUGAGUGGCGAACGGGUGAGUAACACGUGGGAAAUCUGCCUAGGAGUGGGGGAUAACAUUCGGAAACGGAUGCUAAUACCGCAUANCUUUUUGAACCGCAUGGUUCUUAAACGAAAGACGGCUUCGGCUGUCGCUCUUAGAUGAGCCUGCGGCGUAUUAGCUAGUUGGUGAGGUAAUGGCUUACCAAGGCAACGAUGCGUAGCCGACCUGAGAGGAUGAACGGCCACAUUGGGACUGAGACACGGCCCAGACUCCUACGGGAGGCAGCAGUGGGGAAUCUUCCGCAAUGGACGAAAGUCUGACGGAGCAACGCCGCGUGAACGAUGACGGCCUUCGGGUUGUAAAGUUCUGUUAUACGGGACGAAUGGCGUAGCGGUCAAUACCCGUUACGAGUGACGGUACCGUAAGAGAAAGCCACGGCUAACUACGUG